RNAcentral lists this ribosomal RNA (238 nucleotides) under uncultured bacterium. RNAcentral's name for it is "partial 16S ribosomal RNA". It matches the Rfam family "Bacterial small subunit ribosomal RNA", at positions 524 to 754 of the family's 1533-position model. The record is from RNAcentral.
UACGAAGGGGGCUAGCGUUGCUCGGAAUUACUGGGCGUAAAGCGUGCGUAGGCGGUUCGUUAAGUCUGUUGUGAAAGCCCCGGGCUCAACCUGGGAAUGGCAAUGGAUACUGGCGAGCUAGAGUGUGUCAGAGAUGGUGGAAUUCCCGGUGUAGCGGGUGAAAUGCGUAGAGAAUCGGGAGGAACAUCAGUGGCGGAAGGCGGCCAUCUGGGGACCAACAACUGACGCCUGAGGCAAC